GCAGCCUGUCGCCCUCCUUCCAGCCAACAGGGCCAGCCUUGCAUCUUGGGGAUCCAGGACCCAUGUCUACUCAUGCCACUCUAGCUGGAAGAAGGACCAUCGAUCCAGCUCUAAGCAGCACUGUAUGUGGACCCCUCCUUUCCUGGUGGACAGCUGAGGCCCAACAAAAAUGAGACUUACAAGUCCAGGUGGAGCCAAGCUGAAGGGAAGGAAACUGCCUACUAAACCAGACGUCAAGGUGGACAUC
This 247-nucleotide long non-coding RNA is filed under the name Marmota monax (woodchuck). The record is from RNAcentral. Lineage: Eukaryota; Metazoa; Chordata; Mammalia; Rodentia; Sciuridae.